Molecule: ribosomal RNA, 496 nt
Filed under: uncultured bacterium
Lineage: Bacteria
Description: partial 16S ribosomal RNA
Rfam family: Bacterial small subunit ribosomal RNA
Source: RNAcentral
AUUGAACGCUGGCGGCAUGCCUUACACAUGCAAGUCGAACGGUAGAGGGGGCAACCUCUCGAGAGUGGCGAACGGGUGAGUAAAGCAUCGGAACGUGCCCAGUAGUGGGGGAUAGCCCGGCGAAAGCCGGAUUAAUACCGCAUGAGACCUACGGGUGAAAGGGGGGGAUCGCAAGACCUCUCGCUAUUGGAGCGGCCGAUGUCAGAUUAGGUAGUUGGUGGGGUAAAGGCCUACCAAGCCGACGAUCUGUAGCUGGUUUGAGAGGACGACCAGCCACACUGGGACUGAGACACGGCCCAGACUCCUACGGGAGGCAGCAGUGGGGAAUUUUGGACAAUGGGCGAAAGCCUGAUCCAGCCAUGCCGCGUGCGGGAAGAAGGCCUUCGGGUUGUAAACCGCUUUUGUCAGGGAAGAAAUCCUUUGAGUUAAUACCUCGGGGGGAUGACGGUACCUGAAGAAUAAGCACCGGCUAACUACGUGCCAGCAGCCGCAGUAA